This is a long non-coding RNA of Psammomys obesus (fat sand rat), 187 nucleotides long. RefSeq lists it as uncharacterized. NCBI's taxonomy places the organism in Eukaryota, Metazoa, Chordata, Mammalia, Rodentia, Muridae. The record is from RefSeq and is a predicted model, not a curated record. The transcript is spliced from 3 exons.
GUCAGUGGAGCCCGAGAUGCAGGUAUCAUGCUGCCCUCACUCCACCACUCAAAGCGUUUCACAUCCACUUCCUCCCCCAUUUCACGUGUUUCGUCCUGCCGCUGGGCUCUUCUAAGCUGCUUCCCUCAAGUCCUCUCCUCUCUCCUACCAGCCUGCCUUCUCAGCUGGAAAUGACUGAGGGCUUCCU